CCUACGGGUGGCAGCAGUGAGGAAUAUUGGUCAAUGGGCGAGAGCCUGAACCAGCCAAGUCGCGUGAGGGAAGACGGUCCUAUGGAUUGUAAACCUCUUUUGUCGGGGAGCAAAAAGGCCUCGUGAGUCCACAAGUGAGAGUACCCGAAGAACAAGCAUCGGCUAACUCCGUGCCAGCAGCCGCGGUAAUACGGAGGAUGCGAGCGUUAUCCGGAUUUAUUGGGUUAAAGGGGUGGGUAGGCGGACUGGAAAGUCAGCGGUAAAAGCGGGAGGCUAAACCGCUUUCCGCCGUUGAAACUGUCGGGCUUGAGUGGGCGAGAGGUAUGCGGAAUGCGUGGUGUAGCGGUGAAAUGCAUAGAUAUCACGCAGAACUCCGAUUGCGAAGGCAGCAUACCGGCGCCCGACUGACGCUGAGGCACGAAAGCGUGGGUAUCGAACAGGAUUAGAUACCCUAGUAGUC
RNAcentral lists this ribosomal RNA (460 nucleotides) under uncultured bacterium. RNAcentral's name for it is "partial 16S ribosomal RNA". It matches the Rfam family "Bacterial small subunit ribosomal RNA", at positions 338 to 795 of the family's 1533-position model. The record is from RNAcentral.